AUGAAAAUAUUAAGCUGGAACUGCCGCGGGAUAGGCGAUCCCGCGACAGUUCGUGAGCUCCGCAAUCUCGUGGAGAUUAGCUCGCCAACUAUCUUAUGUUUAGUUGAAACUCAAUUGCAAAAGAGUCAUGUGGAAGGUCUUCGGACAUCUUCAGGUUUUGAUUUCAGUUUUGGAGUAGGGAGUAGUGGCCGCAGUGGCGGCCUUUGUAUCUUUUGGAAGAACUCUUUG
This 228-nucleotide ribosomal RNA is filed under the name Triticum aestivum (bread wheat). RNAcentral's name for it is "partial small subunit ribosomal RNA". The record is from RNAcentral. Lineage: Eukaryota; Viridiplantae; Streptophyta; Magnoliopsida; Poales; Poaceae.